RNAcentral lists this ribosomal RNA (1087 nucleotides) under Bacillus subtilis. Its description in RNAcentral is "bacterial SSU rRNA". It matches the Rfam family "Bacterial small subunit ribosomal RNA", at positions 350 to 1440 of the family's 1533-position model. The record is from RNAcentral. Lineage: Bacteria; Bacillati; Bacillota; Bacilli; Caryophanales; Bacillaceae.
GGGGGAAAAGAACUUCGCAUGGACGAAGUCUGACGGAGCAACGCCGCGUGAGUGAUGAAGGUUUUCGGAUCGUAAAGCUCUGUUGUUAGGGAAGAACAAGUACCGUUCGAAUAGGGCGGUACCUUGACGGUACCUAACCAGAAAGCCACGGCUAACUACGUGCCAGCAGCCGCGGUAAUACGUAGGUGGCAAGCGUUGUCCGGAAUUAUUGGGCGUAAAGGGCUCGCAGGCGGUUUCUUAAGUCUGAUGUGAAAGCCCCCGGCUCAACCGGGGAGGGUCAUUGGAAACUGGGGAACUUGAGUGCAGAAGAGGAGAGUGGAAUUCCACGUGUAGCGGUGAAAUGCGUAGAGAUGUGGAGGAACACCAGUGGCGAAGGCGACUCUCUGGUCUGUAACUGACGCUGAGGAGCGAAAGCGUGGGGAGCGAACAGGAUUAGAUACCCUGGUAGUCCACGCCGUAAACGAUGAGUGCUAAGUGUUAGGGGGUUUCCGCCCCUUAGUGCUGCAGCUAACGCAUUAAGCACUCCGCCUGGGGAGUACGGUCGCAAGACUGAAACUCAAAGGAAUUGACGGGGGCCCGCACAAGCGGUGGAGCAUGUGGUUUAAUUCGAAGCAACGCGAAGAACCUUACCAGGUCUUGACAUCCUCUGACAAUCCUAGAGAUAGGACGUCCCCUUCGGGGGCAGAGUGACAGGUGGUGCAUGGUUGUCGUCAGCUCGUGUCGUGAGAUGUUGGGUUAAGUCCCGCAACGAGCGCAACCCUUGAUCUUAGUUGCCAGCAUUCAGUUGGGCACUCUAAGGUGACUGCCGGUGACAAACCGGAGGAAGGUGGGGAUGACGUCAAAUCAUCAUGCCCCUUAUGACCUGGGCUACACACGUGCUACAAUGGACAGAACAAAGGGCAGCGAAACCGCGAGGUUAACCCAAUCCCACAAAUCUGUUCUCAGUUCGGAUCGCAGUCUGCAACUCGACUGCGUGAAGCUGGAAUCGCUAGUAAUCGCGGAUCAGCAUGACGCGGUGAAUACGUUCCCGGGUCCUUGAACCACCGCCCCGUAGAAAUUUUGGGCCCCCUUGGUCCGAAUUUAAACC